This 301-nucleotide ribosomal RNA is filed under the name uncultured bacterium. Its description in RNAcentral is "partial 16S ribosomal RNA". It matches the Rfam family "Bacterial small subunit ribosomal RNA", at positions 509 to 808 of the family's 1533-position model. The record is from RNAcentral.
CAGUAGCCACGGGAAUACGUAGGGUGCAAGCGUUGUCCGGAUUUACUGGGCGUAAAGAGCUCGUAGGUGGUGUGUCGCGUCGUCUGUGAAAUUCCGGGGCUUAACUCCGGGCGUGCAGGCGAUACGGGCACGACUAGAGUGCUGUAGGGGUAACUGGAAUUCCUGGUGUAGCGGUGAAAUGCGCAGAUAUCAGGAGGAACACCGAUGGCGAAGGCAGGUUACUGGGCAGUUACUGACGCUGAGGAGCGAAAGCAUGGGGAGCGAACAGGAUUAGUUACCCCUGUAGUCCCUGUCUCUUAUA